GGUUGCGUAGCUCAGCUGGAUAGAGCAACUCACUUCUAAUGAGUAGGUCCCAGGUUCGAAUCCUGGCGCGAUCACAA
Molecule: transfer RNA, 77 nt
Filed under: Flavobacterium sp.
Lineage: Bacteria; Pseudomonadati; Bacteroidota; Flavobacteriia; Flavobacteriales; Flavobacteriaceae
Also listed under: 7 other names
Description: tRNA-Arg
Rfam family: tRNA
About the family: Transfer RNA (tRNA) molecules are approximately 80 nucleotides in length. Their secondary structure includes four short double-helical elements and three loops (D, anti-codon, and T loops).
Source: RNAcentral